This 537-nucleotide long non-coding RNA is filed under the name Homo sapiens (human). RNAcentral describes it as "HSALNT0078808". The record is from RNAcentral. Lineage: Eukaryota; Metazoa; Chordata; Mammalia; Primates; Hominidae.
UACAGUGUUUGGUUUUUCAUUCCUGAGUUACUUCACCUAGAACAAUGGCCUCCAGCUCCAUCCAAGUUGCUGCAGAAGACAUUUCAUUCCUUUUAUGGCUGAGUAGUAUUCCAUGUCCAGUGAUUCAAGUUUGACACACCACACCACGGUGGAUGUGCCUUGUCAUGACACAUCUUCUCAGCAGCACUAGAAGAUACAUCCAAAGUCCUGUGAGCAAGGACACAGCGAGAAGAUGGCUGUCUACAAGCCAGGAAGAGAGUCCUCACCAGAACCAAACCCUGCUGGACUUUGAUCUUGGACUUCCCAGCCUCUAAAACUGUGAAGACAUAAAUUUCUGUUGUUAAACCCACACAGGUCUGUGGUAUCUGUUUAUUAUGGCAGCCCAGUAAGACUAAGACAGGCCAUCACAAGACAUGAAUGUUUUGGACCUUCUCUUGGGCCCUAGUAAACAGAAAUCAGGCUAUUAAACUAAUCCACGUUCUAAACUGUUAUUGCUACUGGAAAAUGGUCCCGAUCCAGACCCCAAAAGAGGAUUCU